Molecule: ribosomal RNA, 253 nt
Filed under: uncultured bacterium
Lineage: Bacteria
Description: partial 16S ribosomal RNA
Rfam family: Bacterial small subunit ribosomal RNA
Source: RNAcentral
UACGUAGGGCGCAAGCGUUAUCCGGAAUUAUUGGGCGUAAAGAGCUCGUAGGCGGUUUGUCGCGUCUGCCGUGAAAGUCCGGGGCUCAACUCCGGAUCUGCGGUGGGUACGGGCAGACUAGAGUGAUGUAGGGGAGACUGGAAUUCCUGGUGUAGCGGUGAAAUGCGCAGAUAUCAGGAGGAACACCGAUGGCGAAGGCAGGUCUCUGGGCAUUAACUGACGCUGAAGAGCGAAAGCAUGGGGAGCGAACAGG